RNAcentral lists this ribosomal RNA (518 nucleotides) under Fusinus forceps. RNAcentral's name for it is "partial 16S ribosomal RNA". It matches the Rfam family "Bacterial large subunit ribosomal RNA", at positions 1817 to 2600 of the family's 2925-position model. The record is from RNAcentral. Lineage: Eukaryota; Metazoa; Mollusca; Gastropoda; Neogastropoda; Fasciolariidae.
GGCUCCUUGUAUAAAUUAAAUAGGGAGUCGGACCUGCCCAGUGAAUAUUUAAACGGCCGCGGUACUCUGACCGUGCAAAGGUAGCAUAAUCAUUUGCCUUAUAAUUGAAGGCUAGUAUGAAUGGUUUGACAAGAAUAUAGCUGUCUCUUUUUGAUUUUAUAGAAUUUUAUUUAAGGGUGAAGAAGCCUUUAUUUAAUUAAAAGACAAGAAGACCCUAUCGAGCUUUAAAGCAAUAAGUAGAUUUAUGGAUCUUAAUAAUUUUAUGAAGAUAUCUACUAAAAAAUUUUAGUUGGGGCGACCAAGGAACAUAAGAAGCUUCCUUUGACAAACUUAAAUAAUUGCAAUUAUUUGAUCCAAGAGUUUUUGAUUAAAGGAAUUAGUUACCGUAGGGAUAACAGCAUUAUCUUCUUUGAGAGUUCUUAUCGAAAAGGAGGUUUGUGACCUCGAUGUUGGACCAGAAUAUCCUAAAGAUGCAGCAGUCUUUGAAGGUUGGUCUGUUCGACCAUUAAAAUUCUACG